This 232-nucleotide ribosomal RNA is filed under the name uncultured bacterium. RNAcentral describes it as "partial 16S ribosomal RNA". It matches the Rfam family "Bacterial small subunit ribosomal RNA", at positions 28 to 244 of the family's 1533-position model. The record is from RNAcentral.
GACGAACGCUGGCGGCGUGCCUAAUACAUGCAAGUAGAACGCUGACUACUUUAGCUUGCUAGAGUAGAAGGAGUUGCGAACGGGUGGAGUAACGCGUAGGUAAACCUGCCUACUAGCGGGGGGAGUAACUAUUGGAAACGGAUAGCUAAUACCGCCAUAACAGUGUUUAACACAUGUUAGAUGCUUGAAAGAUGCAAUUGCAUCACUAGUAGAUGGACCUGCGUUGUAUUAG